AGUUCUGAGUUUGGCAACAGUACACUAAAACUGCAACAAUCAGAGAUUAGCAUGGUGCCUGGGCAAGGAUGACAAACAAAUUUGUAAAGAAUUUCAUAUUUUU
Molecule: small nuclear RNA, 103 nt
Organism: Bison bison bison
Lineage: Eukaryota; Metazoa; Chordata; Mammalia; Artiodactyla; Bovidae
Source: Ensembl